RNAcentral lists this long non-coding RNA (686 nucleotides) under Manihot esculenta (cassava). Its description in RNAcentral is "long non-coding RNA (MESC_LNC013034)". Lineage: Eukaryota; Viridiplantae; Streptophyta; Magnoliopsida; Malpighiales; Euphorbiaceae. The record is from RNAcentral.
UGUUUUGAACUUAGGAGCAUCCUGACUCGCGGUUGUCGAAGCCGGUCAAAAAUAACCUUUCUGGUUAUCAACAAUUUACAACUGCAGAUAGUGGUGAAAGGAUCGAAUCCACAGGGAAUUGAGAACUCACCUAUUUCUCUUUUUGGGACCAAAAAAUAAACUGAAACAAUAAUAAACUAAAAAUGAGAUAAAAACUGAAAGUGGGAUCAAAUGAGAUAAACUGAAAAUUGGGAUCAAAAUUGUCGACAAAAUAACAGGGGGGUUUGAGAUUGAUUGUAGUAAACUAAUAAUGAGAAAAAUAAUGGAAAGCAAAUAAUUAAAUAAAAAGUAAUCAAUAAUGAGAAAGCUCUAGUUGAAGUAUUGGAUCCACUUUAGUUGUUGGGAUUGAUCACAGACACUAUGUUCUUUUGGGUUGAUUCAAUAGAUUAGUUAUGGAGAUGGAAGAUGCUUCUCACCACCAUUAUCUCUCAUUAUGAUUAAACCAAUUAGGGAACGUUCUCUAAUUAAUUACUAAUUAACAAAUUGCCAAGGAACGUCCUUGGGCCUUAGGCAUCAAAACAAUUGUCAAUUGCAUUAAAAAAUAGAGAGAUCCAAUCCUAACUACCCAAACGUAUGGAGAUAACGCUAGAUCAUACAAUUUCCUUGGGUUUUAUCCCAAGUGUUCUCAUGUAAGAAUAAUCCAAGCA